AUGACUGCUAAAAAUUCUAUUCGGCUUCCCUUUACUAAACCUCUAGUUGAAGGAUUACUUGAUUACAUCUACACGGAGCGUAUUUUGAAGUCACCAGCUGACGCAGAUGCUGCCGAUUUUUACAAAUGGUGCGUGAUUUUUGCUUUCAAGUUUUAUUAUACACACUGUUUUUCUUGUUGGUUUUGUUUUCUUUUGAUUCGCGAUUCCUUGCUGCACAAUUCAUUACAGGCAUUCAGGGGAAAAAUUUUCCAAAAAGUGUACAGAUGCUUAAUGUGAGAGUAAAAAUGAAUCGACCGCAAGAAGGAUAAGUUGUCAAAAUUAAGAUAAACCAGACCUGCUAACGCACAAAAGCAAGCUGUAUUUGUUGCAGAAAGUGACUAGACCUACUUUUAUCUGGUGUGUGUGAACUAUUGGUGACACAAUGUUAAGUGCUGUACCAGAGCCCAUUCAGAAAACAUUUUUGUAAUGGCUAUGUGUUCUGUUACAUCGUAUUUCCGACCAUUCAGCCAUUAGUUUGAUAUUUUCCAUGGAUUCGUACUUGAAUUUUCCUGUAAAAUUUGCUUUAUAUAUUUGUUCUCGUGAAUGACUGUGUAUGUAUUUUUUUUUCCAGUUUACUUGUCAUUGCCAAUUUAUGUUACUGCCAGGGCUCAAACUUCUGUGUGAACAAAGUUUGAGCAGCAUUUUGACUUUACGAAAUGUCGUCACCCUCCUACAAAUUAGCAUUCUCCACAGCGCCCCACAGCUAAAGCAGUUCUGUUUUGCCUUUAUUUGUCAGAAUAUUGCAGAACUUUUAGAUCUCAGGUACUUAGAAGCAUUGGAUAGUGAUAUUUUAAAAGAAUUGACAGAUGUUUAUCAAGAAAGGAACAGGCAUUUGUGCUGGCGGCAUAUUAGUCCAUUUAGAUGUGAUCGGCAAAUUUCUGAGAUCAUAGAAUUUAACAAGAUGUGUCCUCCUUUACCGUGGAAUGUGUUUGAAGAUGAUGAUGUUGUUGAGACAAUAUGCUCUCCAAAAUCAGGAGAAAAGGCGCAAAAAAAACCACUGCCACGGACAAGGAAAUCCAGCGGAUCAGAAUCGAGACAAAGGAAGUCUUCCAGAAGUGAUUCAUUUGGAUCGAAGCAAAAUGACAUGGAGACGCUGUCGAGUAUUAUGAAGUCAAUACGUUUGACUGACCAUUCAGUGGAGACUUUCCUUGGAACGCAAGCAACAGCUGAGGAAAGUGAAGCAAGUUGGAUAAAAAUUGAGAAAGUUCGUCGCGGCUGA
This 1258-nucleotide long non-coding RNA is filed under the name Bemisia tabaci. RNAcentral describes it as "lncRNA ENSSSA1NGG007931". The record is from RNAcentral. Lineage: Eukaryota; Metazoa; Arthropoda; Insecta; Hemiptera; Aleyrodidae.